Molecule: transfer RNA, 77 nt
Filed under: Acidimicrobiia bacterium
Lineage: Bacteria; Bacillati; Actinomycetota; Acidimicrobiia
Description: tRNA-Met
Rfam family: tRNA
About the family: Transfer RNA (tRNA) molecules are approximately 80 nucleotides in length.
Source: RNAcentral
CGCGGGGUGGAGCAGUCUGGUAGCUCGUCGGGCUCAUAACCCGAAGGUCGGAGGUUCAAAUCCUCCCCCCGCUACGA